ACCUGCUGCUGGAUCAUUACUCACUGUGAU
This 30-nucleotide ribosomal RNA is filed under the name Trichotylenchus changlingensis. RNAcentral describes it as "partial small subunit ribosomal RNA". The record is from RNAcentral. Lineage: Eukaryota; Metazoa; Nematoda; Chromadorea; Rhabditida; Telotylenchidae.